UACGGGAGGCAGCAGUGGGGAAUAUUGCACAAUGGGCGCAAGCCUGAUGCAGCCAUGCCGCGUGUAUGAAGAAGGGCCUUCGGGUUGUAAAGUACUUUCAGUCGUGAGGAAGGUGUUAAGGUUAAUAACCUUAGCAAUUGACGUUAGCGACAGAAGAAGCACCGGCUAACUCCGUGCCAGCAGCCGCGGUAAUACGGAGGGUGCGAGCGUUAAUCGGAAUUACUGGGCUAAAGGGCACGCAGGCGGUUAAUUAAGUUGGAUGUGAAAUCCCCGGGCUUAACCUGGGAAUGGCAUUCAAGACUGGUUAGCUAGAGUCUUGUAGAGGGGGUAGAAUUCCAUGUGUAGCGGUGAAAUGCGUAGAGAUGUGGAGGAAUACCGGUGGCGAAGGCGGCCCCUGGGACAAAGACUGACGCUCAUGUGCGAAAGCGUGGGGAGCAAACAGGAUUAGAUACC
RNAcentral lists this ribosomal RNA (453 nucleotides) under uncultured bacterium. RNAcentral describes it as "bacterial SSU rRNA". It matches the Rfam family "Bacterial small subunit ribosomal RNA", at positions 340 to 786 of the family's 1533-position model. The record is from RNAcentral.